This is a non-coding RNA of Phodopus roborovskii (desert hamster), 392 nucleotides long. NCBI's taxonomy places the organism in Eukaryota, Metazoa, Chordata, Mammalia, Rodentia, Cricetidae. The record is from the annotation of a RefSeq genome assembly.
CCCAGGUUUUCAACAUGGACUGGAGCUGGAUCAUGCUCUACCUGGUGUCUGUGGCUACACGAGUCCAUUCUCAGGCUCAUCUACAACAGUCUGGGGCUGAACUGAAGGCUCCUGGAGCUUCAGUAAAGGUGACCUGCAAGGAUUUUGACUCAUACGUCUUCCCCAUUGCCUAUAUGAGUUGGGUGAGGCAGAAGCCUGGACAUGGGCUUGAGUGGAUUGGAAACAUACUCCCAAGCAUUGGUAGAACUAACUAUGGACAAACGUUUGAGGACAGAGUCACACUGACUUCAGACACAGGAUCCAACACAGCCUACAUGGAACUGAGAAGCCUGAUGUUUGAGGACAGUGCCACCUAUUACUGUGCAAGGCACAGUGACACAGCACACAUCUAG